This 658-nucleotide long non-coding RNA is filed under the name Vulpes vulpes (red fox). RNAcentral describes it as "lncRNA (ENSVVUG00000019655.1)". Lineage: Eukaryota; Metazoa; Chordata; Mammalia; Carnivora; Canidae. The record is from RNAcentral.
AGCACAGGAGGCUAGCAGCCCUGUCACACUGGCUCAGGAAUUUGAUUUUUCUUAUUCUAAGAGUGAAGAGGCAGACAAGCAGGAGGAAAGCAGGCGGUUAAAAGUCCAUGACAGUACUCAAGAACAAAGUGGAUAGAUUAGGUCUCAGAGAUCCUGUUUGACCCCAGGCAAAGAGUAACAAAGAGGGGGAAUCCAAAGAGAAAAACAAAAGAUACAAUUCAAGGAAACUUCUUCUUUUUUCUUUUUCUAGGAAACCUCUAAUCUCUUUACUGAGAGCUCAGACUUCUGGAAUAGCCCUCUCAGUCUUGGUCUUACUAGUUGACCCCACUAAUGCAGACUCUCUCCGAGAGGAUUUAAUACGCAAAUACACACAGAGAGUCUCCCAGAGAAAGAGGAUGCUGUCUUUCUGAAAUGUAUCAAAUGACUAAAUCGCCUUGAUGAAGAGUAGUUCAUGGGGUAGUUUUCUGUGGAGCAUGAUUUGGAAAUACACAGCAGGUCUCAGCGGGAAAUAUUUGUAGACCAUCUCUUAGGACAAACGAUGUAUUUUAUUUUUCAGCAUUCAUGGAACAAGGUGAUUUUUCUUCCUUGUCUUAUUUUUAGAAGUUGUUCUCUGUCUGGAUACUACUCAGUAAGCUUUAAUUCCAAUAAUAUUGACAUU